Long non-coding RNA from Carassius auratus (goldfish), 2335 nucleotides. RefSeq lists it as uncharacterized. The transcript is spliced from 3 exons. Lineage: Eukaryota; Metazoa; Chordata; Actinopteri; Cypriniformes; Cyprinidae. The record is from RefSeq and is a predicted model, not a curated record.
UUUUUUCUUCUUUUUAAUAAUGUUUUUAUUGUUUUAGACUAAUUUCGUUUUCAUUUCAUCAUUGUUGAUUAUUAAAACUUACAAUGUGAAUAAAGGGACAAACGAACAUCUCAGAAAAAUUCUGCAUGCAUUACACAUCUAAAAUGGCUAUAUAUAUGUAUAUAUGUAUGUGUGUGUCGAUGAAAAUAUACUCUUUAUACCAAAAUCUAUUUUUUGCGGGUUAAACGUCAUCAUAUCUUUAUCAAAGACUCCACAUUUUUUCUCCUGCAUAAUUUGAAAAAGAAAGGAAGCAAACUGUACAUUUAUUGGGUGUCGAUGAGAAUCAUGAAUGAAACAAUUUUUUAUACUGAAAUAUUUGCUUAAUGUCAUCACAACUUUACGAACGACUAAUAAAUUUUUAUUUUUUUACCUGAGAAAGGGUAAAACAUGUUUACUCACGUGAUCCGCAAAACUGCCACAACCGACUGCCCAGUGGCUCCUCUCUGUCCACGUAGAGGAUGUCCGGUCCCGGUAUAGUGAGCUAAAAGCCAGGGUCACCUCUGUGUUGGGGUCCAUCCUGAAAAUGGACUCCACAAAACCGGUGGCCAAAAAACUGGCAGGAGCUGGGACCGCAGCCUGGGUCACCAAUGUGGGCAAUGAGCACGCACAGGUCCUCAUUCCUGUGCUCACCUCACAUGAGGGUCAGGGACUGCUCCCCAUGAACCAGCCACCUGCUCUACAGUCUGUUCAUGGCAGAGCUCUCUGCCUGCAUUUUCGUCUGGGAUGAGGGAGAUGUGUCCCUGCUGAGGGAGGCAAAAAGGAGGGAGCUUGACCAACAGCAGGGCAUCAGAGGCCUCACGGAGGAGCAGUAGACCAGCAGGCUCACCUCCAGACAGCUGGCACAGCACUGUCGUCGCUGCACACGUGGCCUGGAGGAGACCGAGCAGCUGAUCGGACUGUUGCUGGAGGCCUUCAGGGACACCAGGGAAACGAUGGGCAUCCCCUUGGUGGACCAGGAGAGAAUGGACUGCAUCUGGGACACUCAAAGGCGCCUUCUUCCCUGCAUCCAGGACCCUCUUGGAGUGCAGCUGUACACCCAGACAGGAAGUGUUAAAAAGGAGGGCUUACACUUCCUGUGUACUGCUGUGCUUGGGGGUCCACUUUCCUGGAGUCCUACCAUAACCACCUCAACCGCUUCAUACCCAGAACUAGCGCUAACCUGGAAAAUUUCCAGGCUUAUCUGCUUGUUGGUUUUGAGCGGUGGAAUGGGACCGGGACACUGCUGCUGUCACACAUGCUUCCUUGUCACUACACUACUAUAGUGGCUCACUCCAGCACAGCCUCAAUGAGCUCAGCCAGCGUCUUCUUGGCUGUAGUCUUGUGCAAGACUACUCAAAGCCAGGAGAGUAGAAAAUAUAUAAUUGUGAAAAAAUUACUAAACAAAAAUCUGUAUUGUUUCUGGUUGAAAAGUCCAUUUUUAUUUUAUGGAAAAUGCUAUAUUUGCAGCGUUAUUGGGUCAUGCUUCUCCCUUUUUUUCCAAACCGCACCAGAGCCUGUCUCCCUUCUUUGCAGAAUGCGAUAUCCGCUCAACCAAUCACAUUACACCAUUCUACGCACUCUAGACAGUAAUGGCGGCACUUUGACAAUGCUCCACAUCUUAGUUUUACUCUUCUAAUUUGUACUUUGUGAUCAACAAACAAGGGCUGCACGAUAAAUCACAUGCGAUUCUGUGAUUAAGGCCGAGAUCACAACUUCUUUAAAACUUGCAUCUGCAACAAAGGAUUUCUUUUAAAAGCAGUUGAAAUAACUGUGUUAUCUGAGCUCACUUCCCUUUCUAACUCGACAAAGCAGCAAGCAGCCAAAAUUAAAGAAAUCGGAAUGUGUUUGUCUCCAUCUAUUCAUACAGUGUAAAAAAUACAAUUAACAAAAUGUUGGAAGGGAAAAAAUAUUUAAGUUGAGCUAAUUUUAUUGCUUGGGCUUAGUUGAGAAGAUGUAUUUUAUUAAGUCUACAUAAGUAUAUUUGGAAAAACAUUGAAUGAAUGAUUAUUAGCUAUGCUAAUGUUGACUAAACUAAUAAAAACUAAUCCAACCGACACAGAGAUAAUUCUGCAUGUGCACAAGCCUGAGUGACUUCGCGGGAAAAACAGCGCCAUCUUGUCAAGUUUACAAGUCAGGUAAGUGCCACUAAAUGAAUGUUAAGACUUAAUUUUUUACCAAAAACAUAAGAAUUUUAAAAUCGGACAUAAAAUAUAUAAUUGUGAAAAAAUUAUUAAACAAAUAUAUACAUAAAACUGAAAAAAUAACAGCAGAAACCGUACAACAAAGUGAAGAAUAAAAGAUUUCACUAAAUAGUUCA